This 24-nucleotide non-coding RNA is filed under the name Rattus norvegicus (Norway rat). The record is from RNAcentral. Lineage: Eukaryota; Metazoa; Chordata; Mammalia; Rodentia; Muridae.
UAGGUGACAGAGGCAACUCAGAAC